RNAcentral lists this ribosomal RNA (253 nucleotides) under uncultured bacterium. RNAcentral's name for it is "partial 16S ribosomal RNA". It matches the Rfam family "Bacterial small subunit ribosomal RNA", at positions 524 to 776 of the family's 1533-position model. The record is from RNAcentral.
UACGGAGGAGGCAAGCGUUAUCCGGACUUAUUGGGCGUAAAGCGUCCGCAGGUGGCACCUCAAGUCUGCUGUCAAAGACCGGGGCUUAACCCCAGAAAGGCAGUGGAAACUGAAGCGCUAGAGUGCAGUAGGGGUAGAGGGAAUUCCCGGUGUAGCGGUGAAAUGCGUAGAGAUCGGGAAGAACAUCGGUGGCGAAAGCGCUCUGCUGGACUGCAACUGACACUCAGGGACGAAAGCUAGGGGAGCGAAUGGG